Long non-coding RNA from Empidonax traillii (willow flycatcher), 163 nucleotides. RefSeq lists it as uncharacterized. The transcript is spliced from 3 exons. NCBI's taxonomy places the organism in Eukaryota, Metazoa, Chordata, Aves, Passeriformes, Tyrannidae. The record is from RefSeq and is a predicted model, not a curated record.
UGCAGCUGAAGCAGGAGCUGCUGAGAGCAAACAUGGACAAGGAGGAGCUGCACAACCAGAACGUUGAUCUUCAGAGGAAGCUGGAGGAGAGAAACCGGCUGCUGGCAGAGUACAAAAAGGAGCUGUGCCAGAAGGACCGGCACCUGCAGCAGCACCAGACCAA